CCUACGGGUGGCAGCAGUGAGGAAUAUUGGUCAAUGGGCGAGAGCCUGAACCAGCCAAGUCGCGUGAAGGAUGACGGCCCUACGGGUUGUAAACUUCUUUUGUCAGGGAGCAAUUGGGUCCACGCGUGGGCUUAGCGAGAGUACCUGAAGAAAAAGCAUCGGCUAACUCCGUGCCAGCAGCCGCGGUAAUACGGAGGAUGCGAGCGUUAUCCGGAUUUAUUGGGUGUAAAGGGAGCGUAGGCGGCGAUGCAAGUCAGAAGUGAAAGCCCGGGGCUCAACUCCGGGACUGCUUUUGAAACUGUAUGGCUAGAUUGCAGGAGAGGCAAGUGGAAUUCCUAGUGUAGCGGUGAAAUGCGUAGAUAUUAGGAGGAACACCAGUGGCGAAGGCGGCUUGCUGGACUGUAAAUGACGCUGAGGCUCGAAAGCGUGGGGAGCAAACAGGAUUAGAUACCCCUGUAGUC
Molecule: ribosomal RNA, 461 nt
Filed under: uncultured bacterium
Lineage: Bacteria
Description: partial 16S ribosomal RNA
Rfam family: Bacterial small subunit ribosomal RNA
Source: RNAcentral